RNAcentral lists this ribosomal RNA (1478 nucleotides) under Klebsiella aerogenes. RNAcentral's name for it is "bacterial SSU rRNA". It matches the Rfam family "Bacterial small subunit ribosomal RNA". The record is from RNAcentral. Lineage: Bacteria; Pseudomonadati; Pseudomonadota; Gammaproteobacteria; Enterobacterales; Enterobacteriaceae.
CACAGAGAGCUUGCUCUCGGGUGACGAGCGGCGGACGGGUGAGUAAUGUCUGGGAAACUGCCUGAUGGAGGGGGAUAACUACUGGAAACGGUAGCUAAUACCGCAUAACGUCGCAAGACCAAAGUGGGGGACCUUCGGGCCUCAUGCCAUCAGAUGUGCCCAGAUGGGAUUAGCUAGUAGGUGGGGUAAUGGCUCACCUAGGCGACGAUCCCUAGCUGGUCUGAGAGGAUGACCAGCCACACUGGAACUGAGACACGGUCCAGACUCCUACGGGAGGCAGCAGUGGGGAAUAUUGCACAAUGGGCGCAAGCCUGAUGCAGCCAUGCCGCGUGUAUGAAGAAGGCCUUCGGGUUGUAAAGUACUUUCAGCGAGGAGGAAGGCGUUAAGGUUAAUAACCUUGGUGAUUGACGUUACUCGCAGAAGAAGCACCGGCUAACUCCGUGCCAGCAGCCGCGGUAAUACGGAGGGUGCAAGCGUUAAUCGGAAUUACUGGGCGUAAAGCGCACGCAGGCGGUCUGUCAAGUCGGAUGUGAAAUCCCCGGGCUCAACCUGGGAACUGCAUUCGAAACUGGCAGGCUAGAGUCUUGUAGAGGGGGGUAGAAUUCCAGGUGUAGCGGUGAAAUGCGUAGAGAUCUGGAGGAAUACCGGUGGCGAAGGCGGCCCCCUGGACAAAGACUGACGCUCAGGUGCGAAAGCGUGGGGAGCAAACAGGAUUAGAUACCCUGGUAGUCCACGCCGUAAACGAUGUCGACUUGGAGGUUGUGCCCUUGAGGCGUGGCUUCCGGAGCUAACGCGUUAAGUCGACCGCCUGGGGAGUACGGCCGCAAGGUUAAAACUCAAAUGAAUUGACGGGGGCCCGCACAAGCGGUGGAGCAUGUGGUUUAAUUCGAUGCAACGCGAAGAACCUUACCUACUCUUGACAUCCAGAGAACUUAGCAGAGAUGCUUUGGUGCCUUCGGGAACUCUGAGACAGGUGCUGCAUGGCUGUCGUCAGCUCGUGUUGUGAAAUGUUGGGUUAAGUCCCGCAACGAGCGCAACCCUUAUCCUUUGUUGCCAGCGGUCCGGCCGGGAACUCAAAGGAGACUGCCAGUGAUAAACUGGAGGAAGGUGGGGAUGACGUCAAGUCAUCAUGGCCCUUACGAGUAGGGCUACACACGUGCUACAAUGGCAUAUACAAAGAGAAGCGACCUCGCGAGAGCAAGCGGACCUCAUAAAGUAUGUCGUAGUCCGGAUUGGAGUCUGCAACUCGACUCCAUGAAGUCGGAAUCGCUAGUAAUCGUAGAUCAGAAUGCUACGGUGAAUACGUUCCCGGGCCUUGUACACACCGCCCGUCACACCAUGGGAGUGGGUUGCAAAAGAAGUAGGUAGCUUAACCUUCGGGAGGGCGCUUACCACUUUGUGAUUCAUGACUGGGGUGAAGUCGUAACAAGGUAACCGUAGGGGAACCUGCGGUUGGAUCACCUCCUUACCUUAAAGAA